CUCACAGCUGCCUUCGGCUGCUCCACUGAGAUUCACAAACCCGUCUUUCUCAGCACAUGGACGAAGACCCGGGAGGGGGGACCCCUGCCUUUUAAAACUCAGGAAAUUAUGACUUGGUCUCUAUCACUGACAACCUCUGAUGCCACUCUAGUCAUCCACAGUGAUGUUGCGG
Long non-coding RNA from Oreochromis niloticus (Nile tilapia), 172 nucleotides. RefSeq lists it as uncharacterized. The record is from RefSeq and is a predicted model, not a curated record. Lineage: Eukaryota; Metazoa; Chordata; Actinopteri; Cichliformes; Cichlidae. The transcript is spliced from 2 exons.